AUUGAACGCUGGCGGAGUGCUUUACACAUGCAAGUCGAACGGCAGCACGGACUUCGGUCUGGUGGCGAGUGGCGAACGGGUGAGUAAUGUAUCGGAACGUGCCCAGUCGUGGGGGAUAACGUAGUGAAAAUUACGCUAAUACCGCAUACGAUCUAUGGAUGAAAGCGGGGGAUCGCAAGACCUCGCGCGAUUGGAGCGGCCGAUAUCAGAUUAGGUAGUUGGUGGGGUAAAGGCCCACCAAGCCAACGAUCUGUAGCUGGUCUGAGAGGACGACCAGCCACACUGGAACUGAGACACGGUCCAGACUCCUACGGGAGGCAGCAGUGGGGAAUUUUGGACAAUGGGCGAAAGCCUGAUCCAGCCAUUCCGCGUGCAGGAUGAAGGCCCUCGGGAUGUAAACUGCUUCUGUACAGAACGAAAAGGUUUCUACUAAUACUAGGAGCUCAUGACGGUACUGUAAGAAUAAGCACCGGCUAACUACGUGCCAGCAGCCGCCGUAA
RNAcentral lists this ribosomal RNA (500 nucleotides) under uncultured bacterium. RNAcentral describes it as "partial 16S ribosomal RNA". It matches the Rfam family "Bacterial small subunit ribosomal RNA", at positions 30 to 523 of the family's 1533-position model. The record is from RNAcentral.